Molecule: ribosomal RNA, 774 nt
Filed under: uncultured Neocallimastigales
Lineage: Eukaryota; Fungi; Neocallimastigomycota; Neocallimastigomycetes; Neocallimastigales
Description: partial large subunit ribosomal RNA
Rfam family: Eukaryotic large subunit ribosomal RNA
Source: RNAcentral
GAGAGAGACAUGCGCGCAUAUCAAUAAGCGGAGGAAAAGAAACUAACAAGGAUUCCCUUAGUAACGGCGAGUGAAGCGGGAAGAGCUCAAAUUUGAAAUCUUCAAGGUUCUACCUUGACGAAUUGUAGUUUAUAGAAGUGUUUUCUGUUAGUGGAGUGGCAAAAGUUCUUUGGAAUAGGACAUCAUAGAGGGUGAGAAUCCCGUAUUUGGUCAUUCCUCCUAGCGUUGUGAUACACUUUCAACGAGUCGGAUUGUUUGGGAAUGCAGUCCAAAAUGGGUGGUAAAUUCCAUCUAAAGCUAAAUAUUGGCGAGAGACCGAUAGCGAACAAGUACCGUGAGGGAAAGAUGAAAAGAACUUUGAAAAGAGAGUUAAACAGUACGUGAAAUUGUCAAAAGGGAAGCGUUUGACACCAGUGUUGUUUUUCCGAAAAUCAAUUACGAAUGUUUUAUUUUUGAGGAGUUAUGACUUCAUCGGCUUGCUCCUUUCUUUACGAAACUUUCUUAAUGCACUUUUCGGUUAACAAGUCAACAUCAAUUUCUUUUGUUGUAAAAGGGUAUGAGGAAGGUGGCUUUCUUUUCGGAGAAAGUGUUUAUAGCCUUGUGCCUCUGCAAUCGGAGAGAUUGAGGUCUGCAGCGUAGAUCCUUCGGGGUUAGAUACAGUUUGUGCUAAGUUAUAGCUUUUCAUAGACAACUUGUUGACUAUGUUUAGUCUUGUAGCUUACUCGCUUAUGCUAUUUUACCUACGCUUAGGAUGUUGAUAGUCACAGCGUGUAC